AGCAGCCGCGGUAAUUCCAGCUCCAAUAGCGUAUAUUAAAGUUGUUGCAGUUAAAAAGCUCGUAGUUGAAUUUCGGGAUCAAUAUGUUGGUCGUGCCUCGGUACGUACUGGCGUCAUUGGUUUCUACCUUCUGAAGAACCUCGAUGUCAUUAAUUUGGUGUCUUGGGGAAUCAGGACUGUUACUUUGAAAAAAUUAGAGUGUUUAAAGCAGGCUCACGCUUGAAUACAUUAGCAUGGAAUAAUGAAAUAGGACGUUUGAUUCUAUUUUGUUGGUUUCUAGGAUCGACGUAAUGAUUAAUAGGGAUAGUUGGGGGCAUUAGUAUUCAAUUGUCAGAGGUGAAAUUCUUGGAUUUAUUGAAGACUAACUACUGCGAAAGCAUUUGCCAAGGAUGUUUUCAUUAAUCAAGAACGAAAGUUAGAGGUUCGAAGGCGAUCAGAUACCGCCCUAGUUCUAACCAUAAACGAUGCCAACCAGCAAUCGGCCACGAGUUGCUAACAAUGACUC
RNAcentral lists this ribosomal RNA (505 nucleotides) under uncultured Glomus. RNAcentral describes it as "SSU rRNA". It matches the Rfam family "Eukaryotic small subunit ribosomal RNA", at positions 569 to 1076 of the family's 1831-position model. Lineage: Eukaryota; Fungi; Glomeromycota; Glomeromycetes; Glomerales; Glomeraceae. The record is from RNAcentral.